GACAGAGGUGCCAAGCGUUAGGCGGAAUCACUGGGCUUAAAGCGUGUGUAGGCGGAUGUCUAAGUGCCUUGUGAAAUCCCACGGCUCAACCGUGGAACUGCUUGGCAUACUGGCGGGCUUGAGUACAGACGAGGUUGGCGGAAUUGAUUGUGUAGCGGUGAAAUGCAUAGAUACAAUCAAGAACUCCGAUUGCGUAGGCAGCUAACUAGGCUGUAACUGACGCUGAGGCACGAAAGCGUGGGGAGCGAACAGG
RNAcentral lists this ribosomal RNA (253 nucleotides) under uncultured bacterium. RNAcentral's name for it is "partial 16S ribosomal RNA". It matches the Rfam family "Bacterial small subunit ribosomal RNA", at positions 524 to 776 of the family's 1533-position model. The record is from RNAcentral.